Populus euphratica (Euphrates poplar) is the source of this 835-nucleotide long non-coding RNA. RefSeq lists it as uncharacterized. Lineage: Eukaryota; Viridiplantae; Streptophyta; Magnoliopsida; Malpighiales; Salicaceae. The transcript is spliced from 2 exons. The record is from RefSeq and is a predicted model, not a curated record.
CUCUGAUUCGAAUAUAAAACACUGGAAUGAAUUGAGAAAGAAAUCGAUAGUGCAAAUCUUUGGUUGGAAAUCCCAGAAGACCCAAGUCAGCACUGGAAAGAGGAGGAAGCUUUCAUUCAACCAAGAGUAAUUUCAGUGAUAAGAUAAUAGGUAUACAAAGUAAAUCCACAAAAACCAUACCGCAAUGUGUCAAGUUCAAGAUUGAAUAGAAGUGUUGGGGUUGACAUUGCAAAUUUUUCCUGCACAUUCCCAUCAAUCACAGCAGGUGGCAUAACUUCUGCAAUUUCAGAUGCAUGCAAAGAGAAGUGCAGGUAUGAUGAAAGAGAUAUGCAAGUAUGACACUAGCCAGGGUUAUUGUCCAAUUGAGGUGCUCACAACUUCAGGAUUUUAUACGACCAAAGAAUUUUCAUGUGAACUAUAACUAAAAUUAGUGACUCUAAGAGAGUAACAUUGGAGCGAGUGGUUAAAGACAUCAAAUAGUUCACUACAUACUUGAUAUCCAGAGAUGCAAAUGCAUUGAAAUGAUUCUUUCUUUUUUUUUGAUGAAUUAGAUCCUACAAUUUUAGAGUGCUUAUGUUGGAAUGGAAUGGAAGUACCCAGAUAAACAUGAAUGGUAUUACUAGAAUAAACAAACAUGUCCGCAUCUGUGCUGUCAUUAUUUUCUGCAUGGAUUGAUCAACAUUAUAUUAAAACCAAUGAAUUUAUACAGAUUACUUAAUCAGAAAACCAACAAAAAGAUGUGCCAGACCCUGUGAAAGAGAAAGAGUGAAAUGAUCAACAUUGAAAAAAUAAAAAAAUUGCAACCAGUAUUUCCUUGCUAAGGAUACAGGAGGGG